GUCUGGCUGGCUCAGUCGGUAGAGCUUGUGACUCUUGAUCUCAGGGUUGUAAGUUGGAGCCCUGCGACGGGCA
RNAcentral lists this transfer RNA (73 nucleotides) under Felis catus (domestic cat). It matches the Rfam family "tRNA". From Rfam's summary of the family: Transfer RNA (tRNA) molecules are approximately 80 nucleotides in length. Their secondary structure includes four short double-helical elements and three loops (D, anti-codon, and T loops). Further hydrogen bonds mediate the characteristic L-shaped molecular structure. tRNAs have two regions of fundamental functional importance: the anti-codon, which is responsible for specific mRNA codon recognition, and the 3' end, to which the tRNAs corresponding amino acid is attached (by aminoacyl-tRNA synthetases). tRNAs cope with the degeneracy of the genetic code in two manners: having more than one tRNA (with a specific anti-codon) for a particular amino acid; and 'wobble' base-pairing, i.e. permitting non-standard base-pairing at the 3rd anti-codon position. Lineage: Eukaryota; Metazoa; Chordata; Mammalia; Carnivora; Felidae. The record is from Rfam by way of RNAcentral.